RNAcentral lists this ribosomal RNA (495 nucleotides) under uncultured bacterium. RNAcentral's name for it is "partial 16S ribosomal RNA". It matches the Rfam family "Bacterial small subunit ribosomal RNA", at positions 28 to 507 of the family's 1533-position model. The record is from RNAcentral.
GACGAACGCUGGCGGCGUGCCUAAUACAUGCAAGUAGAACGCUGAAGGAGGAGCUUGCUCUUCUGGAUGAGUUGCGAACGGGUGAGUAACGCGUAGGUAACCUGCCUGGUAGCGGGGGAUAACUAUUGGAAACGAUAGCUAAUACCGCAUAACAGUAGAUGUUGCAUGACAUUUGCUUAAAAGGUGCAAUUGCACCACUACCAGAUGGACCUGCGUUGUAUUAGCUAGUUGGUGGGGUAACGGCUCACCAAGGCGACGAUACAUAGCCGACCUGAGAGGGGGAUCGGCCACACUGGGACUGAGACACGGCCCAGACUCCUACGGGAGGCAGCAGUAGGGAAUCUUCGGCAAUGGACGGAAGUCUGACCGAGCAACGCCGCGUGAGUGAAGAAGGGUUUCGGAUCGUAAAGCUCUGUUGUAAGAGAAGAAAGAGUGUGAGAGUGGAAAGUUCACACUGUGACGGUAUCUUACCAGAAAGGGACGGCUAACUACGUG